CCUACGGGUGGCUGCAGUGGGGAAUAUUGGGCAAUGGGCGCAAGCCUGACCCAGCAAUGCCGCGUGAAGGAAGAAGGCUUUCGGGUUGUAAACUUCUUUGACAGGGGAAGAGCAGAAGACGGUACCCUGAAAACAAGCCACGGCUAACUACGUGCCAGCAGCCGCGGUAAUACGUAGGUGGCAAGCGUUGUCCGGAAUUACUGGGGUUAAAGGGCGUGUAGCCGGGAAGGCAAGUCAGAGGUGAAAUCUGGAGGCUCAACCUCCAAAUUGCAGUUGAAACUGUUUUUCUUGAGUAGUGGAGAGGCAGACGGAAUGCGUUGUGUAGCGGUGAAAUGCGUAGAUAUAAGGAGGAACACCAGUGGCGAAGGCGGUCUGCUGGACAGCAACUGACGGUGAGGCGCGAAAGCGUGGGGAGCAAACAGGAUUAGAUACCCGGGUAGUC
This 442-nucleotide ribosomal RNA is filed under the name uncultured bacterium. Its description in RNAcentral is "partial 16S ribosomal RNA". It matches the Rfam family "Bacterial small subunit ribosomal RNA", at positions 338 to 795 of the family's 1533-position model. The record is from RNAcentral.